This is a long non-coding RNA of Thalassophryne amazonica, 94 nucleotides long. RefSeq lists it as uncharacterized. The record is from RefSeq and is a predicted model, not a curated record. The transcript has 3 exons. Lineage: Eukaryota; Metazoa; Chordata; Actinopteri; Batrachoidiformes; Batrachoididae.
AGAGAAAGAAACAUAGUUGUUUCUGCACUAAAACGCAGCAGGAGAAAGCUGCUCUGCGGGAAGGGGGGAAUUUCAGGAGGGAUUUACUAAAUUA